Molecule: ribosomal RNA, 598 nt
Filed under: uncultured bacterium
Lineage: Bacteria
Description: bacterial SSU rRNA
Rfam family: Bacterial small subunit ribosomal RNA
Source: RNAcentral
CGUAUUAGCUAGUUGGUGAGGUAACGGCUCACCAAGGCAAUGAUACGUAGCCGACCUGAGAGGGUAAUCGGCCACAUUGGGACUGAGACACGGCCCAAACUCCUACGGGAGGCAGCAGUAGGGAAUCUUCCACAAUGGACGAAAGUCUGAUGGAGCAACGCCGCGUGAGUGAAGAAGGGUUUCGGCUCGUAAAACUCUGUUGUUAAAGAAGAACAGGUGUAAGAGUAACUGUUUACACCGUGACGGUAUUUAACCAGAAAGCCACGGCUAACUACGUGCCAGCAGCCGCGGUAAUACGUAGGUGGCAAGCGUUGUCCGGAUUUAUUGGGCGUAAAGCGAGCGCAGGCGGUCUUUUAAGUCUGAUGUGAAAGCCUUCGGCUUAACCGGAGAAGUGCAUCGGAAACUGGGAGACUUGAGUGCAGAAGAGGACAGUGGAACUCCAUGUGUAGCGGUGAAAUGCGUAGAUAUAUGGAAGAACACCAGUGGCGAAGGCGGCUGUCUGGUCUGUAACUGACGCUGAGGCUCGAAAGCAUGGGUAGCGAACAGGAUUAGAUACCCUGGUAGUCCAUGCCGUAAACGAUGAGUGCUAAGUGUUGGA